Non-coding RNA from Cinara cedri, 240 nucleotides. The record is from the annotation of a GenBank genome assembly. NCBI's taxonomy places the organism in Eukaryota, Metazoa, Arthropoda, Insecta, Hemiptera, Aphididae.
AAUUAAAAACUCCUACAAUUCACCUGAUUCACCAUAAUUAAUUUUUAACACGAGAGUAAUAGUCAAAAUUGUUACCAGUAGGUACCUAUUGAUUUUUAAAUGAAAAAAAUGAGAAUUGUUUAAAAAAAAUGAAAAUUUUGUUUCACGUUAUCACUUAACCAGCGGUGGUAUAAAUUACACCUAUGUGCAUUUGUUCUAUCUCCCUUUAGUUAUACUUGGUUCAAAUAUUUAGUUAGUAGC